UGGGGAAUUUUGGACAAUGGGCGAAAGCCUGAUCCAGCAACGCCGCGUGUGUGAAGAAGGCCUUCGGGUUGUAAGGCACUUUUGUCCGGAAAGAAAUCCUUGGCUCUAAUACAGUCGGGGGAUGACGGUACCGGAAGAAUAAGCACCGGCUAACUACGUGCCAGCAGCCGCGGUAAUACGUAGGGUGCAAGCGUUAAUCGGAAUUACUGGGCGUAAAGCGUGCGCAGGCGGUUUGCUAAGACCAAUGUGAAAUCCCCGGGCUCAACCUGGGAACUGCAUUGGUGACUGGCAGGCUAGAGUAUGGCAGAGGGGGGUAGAAUUCCACGUGUAGCAGUGAAAUGCGUAGAGAUGUGGAGGAAUACCGAUGGCGAAGGCAGCCCCCUGGGCCAAUACUGACGCUCAUGCACGAAAGCGUGGGGAGCAAACAGGAUUAGAUACCCUGGUAGUCCACGCCCUAAACGAUGUCAACUAGUUGUUGGGGGAUUCAUUUCCUUAGUAACGUAGCUAACGCGUGAAGUUGACCGCCUGGGGGAGUACGGUCGCAAGAUUAAAACUUAAAGGAAUUGNCGGGGUCGUGCUGUUUCCU
Molecule: ribosomal RNA, 586 nt
Filed under: uncultured bacterium
Lineage: Bacteria
Description: partial 16S ribosomal RNA
Rfam family: Bacterial small subunit ribosomal RNA
Source: RNAcentral